Molecule: ribosomal RNA, 1764 nt
Filed under: Triticum aestivum (bread wheat)
Lineage: Eukaryota; Viridiplantae; Streptophyta; Magnoliopsida; Poales; Poaceae
Description: partial small subunit ribosomal RNA
Source: RNAcentral
AUGCGUGUGGGUUUUGCAGCGAAGGUCCUGAUCAAGAACUCGCAAGUGCAAGCCAUCAUUUGGGGCCCUCACACAAUGACCAAAGCAGAUCACGUCGGCCACCUUGGCCGCCCAAAUCACAUUCCGGUUCUUUCAUUCUCCGGCAUUUCCCCAACAUCGUGUGCCUUCUGGUUGGAUGACCUUGUGUCAGCCUCCAGAGGCAAUGCCAAGUACGGAUUUACACUUGGAAGUGAAACUGUGACCUUCCGUAAUCCAAAAACUGAUAGAAGACAAAGCAGAAAACUAUAUACAAGAAAUUCAAAGAAGAACUGCAGAAGUAAGACGGUGUUGAAGAUUGCCGUGCCGCGGAAAGAAGGUUUUCAGUUUUUCGUGAAUGUUAUUGACCAAAUUUCGAAGGAGCAAAACAUCACCGGAUACAGCAUUGAUAUCUUCAAGGCUGCUAUGAGGAAUUUACAUCCUAUGCCGUGCUAUAGAUUUAUUGUCUUCAACGGUUCGUAUGAUGAGCUAGUAGGCAACGUGUCUUUAGGGGUGUAUGAUGGUGCAGUUGGUGAUGUGACCAUAACCGCAGAACGAGUUACUAACACAGACUUCACAAUGCCAUACACACAGUCCGGUGUGUCCAUGCUUGUGCUUGCCGAGGAUGCACCAGAUAUCCGUUGGACAUUUGUAGAGCCACUAGAUGGGAUGCUUUGGCUUGUAACCAUGGUUUUUUUAUUAUAUACUGGCAUUGUCGUGUGGAUGACUGAACUACCCACACAUCAGGAGUAUCAAGAAUUAAGUUGGAGACAGUGUGGCACCGCCAUCUACUUCAUUUUCUGCACCUUGACGCUUUCUCAUGUUCAAAGUAUUAGAAGCCCCUUGACAAGAAUUGUUGUGGUGAUAUGGUGCUUCGUAGUGCUGAUUCUAGUACAGAGUUACACGGCAAGCUUAUCAUCCAUUCUGACUGCAAAGAGGCUACGUCCUAAGGUGACAGAUCUGGACCAGCUCCGGCACAAUGGUCAUUUUGUAGGAUACCAAGAUGAUUCCUUCGUGCGGUCCUUCUUGAUAAAUCGUAAUAUCAGUGAAAGUAAGUUAAGGAACUACACGAGGAAAGAAGAAUAUGCUGAUGCUUUGAGGAAGGGGUCCAAGAAUGGAGGGGUGUCAGCUAUCGUCGAUGAGAUUCCCUAUUUAACUUCUUUCCUCUCUGACAAUCGGUACAAAAAUGACUUUAAGAUGCUCGGGUGCAGAUACAAGACUCCGGGAUUUGGUCUUGCAUUUCGUCUAGGUUCUCCGAUAGUGCACAACCUCUCAACUGCCAUCUUGAACCUAGCAGGAGGGGCUGAGGGUGAAAAAAUUGAGGAAAAAUGGUUCGGCAAAACUUUACCAUCGGUGGGUGCUGACGCGGUCUCCAACACAGAUUCGGCACCUCUCACAGUACAACACUUUUCUGGUCUAUUUAUCAUCACGGGAUCCAUUUCAACUCUCAUGCUGCUAAUAAGUAUUGUGAGGUUGGUUUAUGCCAAAUGCACCAGAUCGAGAAAGGUCGGCGUAGAAAGCGUCAGCUGCAAUAGUGCCCACGAGGAUACCAGUUUACAUAAUCGCGUGGACGACAAUCCCAGCCCCAAACAACCUCUCCGUGAAGAUAGCGAUGAUGUUUCCCAAGGUGUCCAUGAGACUGGCCAAAAUGUUGGGGGUGCAGAUCCCGAGUCAUUGCAGCAGAUCAAUGGCUUGAAAGGUGGCUCUGUGCCUGCAGGACACAUUCAGAUUGAGAUGAGCAAUGUUUGA